ACGGGUGAGUAAUGUCUGGGAAACUGCCUGAUGGAGGGGGAUAACUACUGGAAACGGUAGCUAAUACCGCAUAACGUCGUAAGACCAAAGAGGGGGACCUUCGGGCCUCUUGCCAUCGGAUGUGCCCAGAUGGGAUUAGCUAGUAGGUGGGGUAACGGCUCACCUAGGCGGCGAUCCCUAGCUGGUCUGAGAGGAUGACCAGCCACACUGGAACUGAGACACGGUCCAGACUCCUACGGGAGGCAGCAGUGGGGAAUAUUGCACAAUGGGCGCAAGCCUGAUGCAGCCAUGCCGCGUGUAUGAAGAAGGCCUUCGGGUUGUAAAGACUUUUCAGCGGGGGAGGAAGGGAGUAAAGUUAAUACCUUUGCUCAUUGACGUUACCCGCAGAAGAAGCACCGGCUAACUCCGUGCCAGCAGCCGCGGUAAUACGGAGGGUGCAAGCGUUAAUCGGAUUACUGGGCGUAAAGCGCACGCAUGCGGUUUGUUAAGUCAGAUGUGAAAUCGCCGGGCUCAACCUGAGAACUGCAUCUGAUACUGGCAAGCUUGAGUCUCGUAUAGGGGGGUAGAAUUCCAGGUGUACCGGUGAAAUGCGUAGAGAUCUGGAGGAAUACCGGUGGCGAAAGCGGCCCCCUGGACGAAGACUGACGCUCAGGUGCGAAAGCGUGUGAGCAAACAGGAUUAGAUACCCUGGUAGUCCACGCCCUAAACGAUGUCGACUUGGAGGUUGUGCCCUUUGAUGCGUGGCUUCCCGGAGCUAACGCGUUAAAUCACCGCCUGGGGAGUACGGGCCGCAAGGUUAAAACUCAAAUGAAUUGACGG
This 819-nucleotide ribosomal RNA is filed under the name uncultured bacterium. RNAcentral's name for it is "bacterial SSU rRNA". It matches the Rfam family "Bacterial small subunit ribosomal RNA", at positions 102 to 916 of the family's 1533-position model. The record is from RNAcentral.